AUGCGAUAUCUGGAAAAUAGGAAUUUACCAGGAGGAAAUGUGGAUGAUAUCCUUAAAUUUAAUGAAAUAAUUAGCGGACUGUCUUUGUUAGAAAUUCCUAUCAAGGGCAGACAGUACAUGUGGUCCAACAUGCAGGAUCAACCUCUUUUGGAGCAGCUUGAUUGGUUCUUCUCCUCGCCAGAAUGGAUUUUAGCCUUCCCCAACACUAUGGUAAAACCCUUGGCUCGCCCAAUCUCCGAUCAUGUACCUUAUGUGAUGUCAAUUGACACUGCGAUCCCUAAAUGCAAACUAUUAAGAUUUGAAAUUUUUGGGCCAUCUCAUCCGGAUUUCAUGUCAACAGUGGAGAAAUCCUGGAAUACUCCUCUCAAAGCUUCUUCCUCUGCCACUAGACUUUCGGGGAAACUUAAAAGGCUUAGAUAUGCACUUAAAAAUGGAGUAAAUCAAUAUCUAAGCUAA
This 456-nucleotide ribosomal RNA is filed under the name Triticum aestivum (bread wheat). RNAcentral's name for it is "partial small subunit ribosomal RNA". The record is from RNAcentral. Lineage: Eukaryota; Viridiplantae; Streptophyta; Magnoliopsida; Poales; Poaceae.